Mizuhopecten yessoensis (Yesso scallop) is the source of this 441-nucleotide long non-coding RNA. RefSeq lists it as uncharacterized. NCBI's taxonomy places the organism in Eukaryota, Metazoa, Mollusca, Bivalvia, Pectinida, Pectinidae. The record is from RefSeq and is a predicted model, not a curated record. The transcript is spliced from 4 exons.
GUUCUGUAUUUAUCUAGAUAGUGCAUUAACAGUUAAACAUAAUCUAUGAUGACAUCUAUUCUGAAGGUACUUUGUCAGACUCCUGGAUUCAAGAAAGAACUUCGGACACAUGUCCAGACUUCAACUGCUGAAUAUCUUUUAGACGUUUUAUAUCAUAAGAGGAACCAGUCCUUACAACGUUUGCUGAACAUAAUUUUUGAUAGUGAUGAUUCAUUUCGUCUUGGAAAACAGAAUGACAGUCAUUCGUUCCUUCUUGCACUCUUUGCAUGCAUACAGGAGGAUACAAAUAAUAAAGCUUGCCACCUGUUCGAGGGAUCAAUGUUAAGCCGUUAUACCUAUUCGACAUGCAGUCAUGUAAGUUUUAAUCUAGAGAUUUUUUUCUCAAUUAUAUUAUACAUUUAUAGCCGUUGCGGUAGAGAAACAAAAAAAAUUGUUUUCCCG